Molecule: long non-coding RNA, 1597 nt
Organism: Cannabis sativa
Lineage: Eukaryota; Viridiplantae; Streptophyta; Magnoliopsida; Rosales; Cannabaceae
Exons: 2
Source: RefSeq, a predicted model, not a curated record
AUCUCUAUUUUUAUACAAAUUAAACCAAUAUACAUAUAUAUAUAUAUAUCAAUAUAUAUACUUAUUUUUAGAUUUACACUAAAAUAUAUAUGUAUCUAAUUACUAAAAUAAAUAAGCUAGUGUAUAUAUAUUUAAACUUUAUGUGUAUGUAUCUAUGUGAAUAAGAAUUAUUUUUCUUGUGUUUUUUAUUACAAAAUAAAUAAAAUGCACCAACUUAAUAUAUUACUAAAAAAAGAUUAAGAAAUUAGAAGUUUGUGUCUUUUUUUAAUUAAUAUAUAUUACAUAUUAUAAUUUUUUUUAAAAUAUACAUAAUUAAGUGCGGAUUGGAUUGGAUCGGUUACUUUUUGAGGUCAAACAACAUCCAAUCCGCACAAGUGCGGAUUUUAGAUUUUUCAAUCCAAUCCAAUCCGCACAAGUGCGGAUAUCCGCAUUUUGCGGAUUGGAUCGUGCAGAUUGGAUUGGAUCAGAUACUUUGUGAACACCCCUACUAGUAAGUACCCUACCUAGUAAUUACACAGUUGCUUCCAAACACACCCGUAGUAACUUUUGUAAAACAUAAAAUUUAAAAGAGUAAUUUGCGGCAUAAAUACCUAAGUUUUAUGCCGAGUAGCAGAUAAAUACUUAAGUCGUAUUUUGGCGGUAAAAAUACCUUCCGUCACUAGUGUGACACUUCCGUAGGUACCUGGCCGUUAUGUGCCAUGUUAGUGUCCACGUGUCACUAUGUGAUUAGUCCAAAUCAUUUAAUUUUUAAGUUUUAUUUGUAAAUCAAUUUAAAAAUUAAAAAUAAAAUAAAAAUAGUUUAAAAUCAAAAUAAAGUAAUAAAUAUUUAAUAUAUAUAUAUAUUUUAAUUAAAUUAAAAUAAAUAAAUCAUUAAUUAAAACCCAAAACCUAAAACUAACAAAUAAACACAAAAGAAAAUUGAAUCAUCCCCUUUCAUAGUCCUCUUCUUCAUCCUGCCCUUCUUCUUCUAUGUGAAGAGUUGUUUAAUGAUAUUAUAUUUGUUUGGGUAAAGGGGGUACGUUCUCCCUUGAUCAUGGGGUUCAUCGUCUUCUUUGCAUAGAGAAAAUUGAAAGGAACUUUUGUAGAGGAAAAAGAUGUUAGCCUCUAAAACUGAGGAGAGUGUUCGAGUUGGGGGCAGUUCCAUUUUGCAGCCUCAAUACACGCGUGAAAGUUCGGCUAUGGUUCUCCCUGCUCAGAGUCGGACGGAGCAACUCCGGCCGUCUAUGGCUCCAACGGACUUCACCAUUUUGAAAACUAUUAGAUCUGUAUCUCCCACGCUCUUUUCUCUCUCCCUGCGGUAUCUUUCUCUCUGUUUUACUCUAUGCGAAGUGUGAGGGAGAUAUGGGUGAGUUCGACAGAAUACUUGGCUUGGCGGAGAUCUGGUCAUCGACGGGACCAUUAUGGUUUGAUUUUUUUUACUGGAUGUAUUACAGGUUUCUUUGUUCAUCAUUAAGGAUUUUUUAGGAAUGUUUGUAUUAUUUUUUUUGGGUUUUUUUUUUUAUUAUUAUUCAAGUUUUUUUGGGUUUUCUUGGUGGUCCGAUUUUUGUUGUCAAUUUGAUUUUGCUAGAUAGAUGUUGGUGAGUGAUGAGGUUUUCGA